Molecule: ribosomal RNA, 253 nt
Filed under: uncultured bacterium
Lineage: Bacteria
Description: partial 16S ribosomal RNA
Rfam family: Bacterial small subunit ribosomal RNA
Source: RNAcentral
UACGUAGGUGGCAAGCGUUACUCGGAAUCACUAGGCGUAAAGCGCAGGUAGGCGGUUCGGUAAGUCUCUUGUGAAAGCUCCCGGCUCAACUGGGAGAGGUCAAGGGAAACUACCGGGCUAGAGUGUGGCAGAGGAAGCUGGAAUUCCCGGUGUAGCGGUGAAAUGCGUAGAGAUCGGGAGGAAUACCUAUGGCGAAAGCAGGCUUCUGGGCCGUCACUGACGCUGAUCCGCGAAAGCUAGGGGAGCAAACAGG